UCGAGGAUCUUCGGCAAUGGGCGCAAGCCUGACCGAGCGACGCCGCGUGUGCGAAGAAGGCCUUCGGGUUGUAAAGCACUGUCGAGAGGAAGAAAGCCGCAAGGUUGAUCGACCUCUGGAGGAAGCACGGGCUAAGUUCGUGCCAGCAGCCGCGGUAAGACGAACCGUGCGAACGUUGUUCGGAAUCACUGGGUUUAAAGGGCGCGUAGGCGGGCUGUCAAGUCGGUGGUGAAAUCGUUCCGCUCAACGGGACAAUGGCCUUCGAUACUGGCGGUCUGGAGGGAGGUAGGGGCAUGCGGAACUUCCGGUGGAGCGGUGAAAUGCGUAGAUAUCGGAAGGAACACCGAUGGCGAAAGCAGCGUGCUGGACCUUUUCUGACGCUGAGGCGCGAAAGCCAGGGGAGCAAACGGGAUUAGAUACCCCGGUAGUCC
Molecule: ribosomal RNA, 431 nt
Filed under: uncultured bacterium
Lineage: Bacteria
Description: bacterial SSU rRNA
Rfam family: Bacterial small subunit ribosomal RNA
Source: RNAcentral